ACAGCAGUAGCCGCGGUAAUACGAAGGGGGCUAGCGUUGUUCGGAUUUACUGGGCGUAAAGGGCGUGUAGGCGGCCUGGGGCGUCCCAUGUGAAAGGCCACGGCUCAACCGUGGAGGAGCGUGGGAUACGCUCAGGCUAGAGGGUGGGAGAGGGUGGUGGAAUUCCUGGAGUAGCGGUGAAAUGCGCAGAUACCGGGAGGAACGCCGAUGGCGAAGGCAGCCACCUGGUCCACUUCUGACGCUGAGGCGCGAAAGCGUGGGGAGCAAACCGGAUUAGAUACCCGAGUAGUCCCUGUCUCUUAUAC
This 305-nucleotide ribosomal RNA is filed under the name uncultured bacterium. Its description in RNAcentral is "partial 16S ribosomal RNA". It matches the Rfam family "Bacterial small subunit ribosomal RNA", at positions 508 to 807 of the family's 1533-position model. The record is from RNAcentral.